UACGAAGGGGGCUAGCGUUGCUCGGAAUCACUGGGCGUAAAGCGCACGUAGGCGGCUUUCUAAGUCAGGGGUGAAAUCCCGGAGCUCAACUCCGGAACUGCCUUUGAUACUGGAAAGCUCGAGUCCGGGAGAGGUGAGUGGAACUGCGAGUGUAGAGGUGAAAUUCGUAGAUAUUCGCAAGAACACCAGUGGCGAAGGCGGCUCACUGGCCCGGUACUGACGCUGAGGUGCGAAAGCGUGGGGAGCAAACAGGAUUAGAAACCCGUGUAGUCC
This 273-nucleotide ribosomal RNA is filed under the name uncultured bacterium. RNAcentral describes it as "partial 16S ribosomal RNA". It matches the Rfam family "Bacterial small subunit ribosomal RNA", at positions 524 to 796 of the family's 1533-position model. The record is from RNAcentral.